RNAcentral lists this ribosomal RNA (931 nucleotides) under uncultured eukaryote. Its description in RNAcentral is "SSU rRNA". It matches the Rfam family "Eukaryotic small subunit ribosomal RNA", at positions 83 to 1022 of the family's 1831-position model. The record is from RNAcentral.
GAAACUGCGAAUGGCUCAUUAAAUCAGUUAUGGUUUAUUUGAUGGUACCUUACUACUUGGAUAACCGUAGUAAUUCUAGAGCUAAUACAUGCAGGAAGUCCCGACUUCGGAAGGGAUGUAUUUAUUAGAUAAGAAACCAACCCGGCUUGCCGGUUGCGUGCUGAGUCACAAUAACUGCUCGAAUCGCAUGGCCUUGCGCCGGCGAUGGUUCAUUCAAAUUUCUGCCCUAUCAGCUUUCGAUGGUAGGAUCGAGGCCUACCAUGGCGUUUACGGGUAACGGAGAAUUAGGGUUCGAUUCCGGAGAGGGAGCCUGAGAAAUGGCUACCACAUCCAAGGAAGGCAGCAGGCGCGUAAAUUGCCCGAAUCCUGACACAGGGAGGUAGUGACAAGAAAUAACAAUACAGGGCUAUCUUAGUCUUGUAAUUGGAAUGAGUACAAUUUACAUCUCUUCACGAGGAUCAAUUGGAGGGCAAGUCUGGUGCCAGCAGCCGCGGUAAUUCCAGCUCCAAUAGCGUAUAUUAAAGUUGUUGCAGUUAAAACGCUCGUAGUCGGAUUUCGGGGCGGGGCCGCCGGUCUGCCGAUGGGUAUGCACUGGCGGCGCGUCCUUCCUUCCGGAGACUGGCCCUACUCUUAACUGAGCGGGGUCGGGAGUCGGAUCAUUUACUUUGAAAAAAUCAGAGUGUUUCAAGCAGGCAGCUCGCUCUUGCAUGGAUUAGCAUGGGAUAAUGAAAUAGGACUUUGGUGCUAUUUUGUUGGUUUCGAACACCGAAGUAAUGAUUAACAGGGACAGUCAGGGGCACUCGUAUUCCGCCGAGAGAGGUGAAAUUCUCAGACCAGCGGAAGACGAACCACUGCGAAAGCAUUUGCCAGGGAUGUUUUCACUGAUCAAGAACGAAAGUUAGGGGAUCGAAGACGAUCAGAUACCGUCGUA